Molecule: ribosomal RNA, 253 nt
Filed under: uncultured bacterium
Lineage: Bacteria
Description: partial 16S ribosomal RNA
Rfam family: Bacterial small subunit ribosomal RNA
Source: RNAcentral
UACAGAGGUCUCAAGCGUUGUUCGGAUUCAUUGGGCGUAAAGGGUGCGUAGGUGGCGGGGCAAGUCUGGUGUGAAAUCCUGGGGCUCAACCCCGGAACUGCACUGGAUACUGCUUUGCUAGAGUACUGGAGAGGGAACUGGAAUUUACGGUGUAGCAGUGAAAUGCGUAGAUAUCGUAAGGAAGACCAGUGGCGAAGGCGAGUUCCUGGACAGUUACUGACACUGAGGCACGAAGGCCAGGGGAGCAAACGGG